RNAcentral lists this transfer RNA (73 nucleotides) under Ailuropoda melanoleuca (giant panda). It matches the Rfam family "tRNA". Rfam says of the family: Transfer RNA (tRNA) molecules are approximately 80 nucleotides in length. Their secondary structure includes four short double-helical elements and three loops (D, anti-codon, and T loops). Lineage: Eukaryota; Metazoa; Chordata; Mammalia; Carnivora; Ursidae. The record is from Rfam by way of RNAcentral.
ACCUGGCUGGCUCAGUCAGGAGAGCGUGCAACUCUUGAUCUCAGGGUCUUGAGUUCAAAUCCCACGUUAGGUG